UACGUAGGGUGGCAAGCGUUGUCCGGAAUCGAUUGGCGUAAAGAGCGUGUAGGUGGCUCGGUAAGUCCGCUGUGAAAGUCCAGGGCUCAACCCUGGAAAGCCGGUGGAAACUGUCGAGCUCGAGUCCGGAAGAGGCGAGUGGAAUUCCUGGUGUAGCGGUGAAAUGCGCAGAUAUCAGGAGGAACACCAAUGGCGAAGGCAGCUCGCUGGGACGGUACUGACACUGAGACGCGAAAGCGUGGGGAGCAAACAGG
RNAcentral lists this ribosomal RNA (254 nucleotides) under uncultured bacterium. RNAcentral describes it as "partial 16S ribosomal RNA". It matches the Rfam family "Bacterial small subunit ribosomal RNA", at positions 524 to 776 of the family's 1533-position model. The record is from RNAcentral.